AAUGGGGGCCCCCGCGCCCUUUCUUCCCCCCUCGGAGGGUUGGGGCGGGGAGGAGGAGGAGGGGGGGGGACGAAGCCAGGGCGGUUUAUGGGUGGGCUCUGCCUGUGUGUGUGUGUCCCCCCCCCGCCGUACCCGGGUGACCUUUCAAAUCAAAGCCCGGCUCGUACCUACCAAGGUGCAUUGGCCAGCAAGGGCUGGGACGGAGGGGGGGGGGGGCGAUGGGGAGGGGGGGGGUGAUGCUCCCGGGUUCUCCCCCUCCCUCUGCCUUUCCCCCUCCCUCCCUCCCUCGCUGCUCCCUCCCUCUCCCUCUCCCUCUCUCUCUGCUGCAUUUUGCAUGAGCUAUCUAGGUCAUUAGCAUUUUAGCGUAUGCAAGACUUGACAAAGCUGAUGAGAAGCCAGAUGGGCCCCUCUCCUCUUUUUUUUGCACCACUUGGGAUCUGAGCGAAAGGAUUGACUGCAGCAGGCGAACGGGGGAAGGUUUUAUUGCGCUCCUCCAGACCCCCCCUUUAUAGCAACGCGGCGGGGCUCGGGGAAAGCGGCAGAGAGCGGGCAGCGGCGGGCAGAGACGGAGGGCAGCCAGAGAGGUGCCUGGGAACCCAUCGCCACCCCCCCCCCCCCCACCUCCCUGCUGGGGCCCUUCACCUCCCUGCCCUUCUCCCAUCCCUUCUCCUCCCUUCCCUUCUUUUUGCAGCUGGAGGCCAACCUGCCCCGCAUCCCUCCAUCCCCAUGGCCGGCCCAGCGUUCCCAGCAGGUGCUUUCCACUGGGCAAAGAAGGGCCUUACUGGAGGGGAUGGUCCCCCCACCCUGUGGGGCGGCUGCAGAGCUGUCCCCGGGCUGGGGGGGGCCCUUUGAUGAUGGCGCGGGGGGGUCCAUCUCUCUUUGCAGCCCUGCACGCAGACCCUCGCCGCUGGGACGGUGCCCGCGGGAGCAUUGACAGCAGCUCGGGGUCCCUGGGACGCCUCUUUGCACCCCCCCCUUCCCCGGGGUGCUGCAGGUAUUUUGGGGCAGCCCUCCCUGGGCUUGCAUCCCCGCCGGUGCGGAUGCCGCAAGGAGCCCGUCGGGUCGUGCCGUGCCAAUAAAGCUCUUUCGCUGCGGG
Harpia harpyja (harpy eagle) is the source of this 1096-nucleotide long non-coding RNA. RefSeq lists it as uncharacterized. The record is from RefSeq and is a predicted model, not a curated record. NCBI's taxonomy places the organism in Eukaryota, Metazoa, Chordata, Aves, Accipitriformes, Accipitridae. The transcript is spliced from 2 exons.